CUCAUAGCGUAUAUUUAAGUUGUUGCAGUUAAAAGCUCGUAGUCGGAUUUUGGCUGAGAACGGUCGGUCCGCCGUUAGGUGUGCACUGACUGGUCUCAGCUUCCUGGUGAGGAGGUGUGCUUCAUCGCCACUUAGUCACCGUGGUUACUUUGAAAAAAUUAGAGUGUUCAAAGCGGGCUUACGCUUGAAUAUAUUAGCAUGGAAUAACACCAUAGGACUCCUGUCCUAUUUCGUUGGUCUCGGGACGGGAGUAAUGAUUAAGAGGAACAGUUGGGGGCAUUCGUAUUUCAUUGUCAGAGGUGAAAUUCUUGGAUUUAUGAAAGACGAACUUCUGCGAAAGCAUUUGCCAAGGAUGUUUUCAUUGAUCAAGAACGAAAGUUGGGGGCUCGAAGAUGAUUAGAUACCAUCCUAGUCUCAACCAUAAACGAUGCCGACUAGGGAUUGGCGGAUGUUAAUUGAUGACUUCGCCAGCACCUUAUGAGAAAUCAAAGUUUUUGGGUUCCGGGGGGAGUAUGGUCGCAAGGCUGAAACUUAAAGGAAUUGACGGAAGGGCACCACCAGGCGUGGAGCCUGCGGCUUAAUUUGACUCAACACGGGGAAACUUACCAGGUCCAGACAUAGUAAGGAUUGACAGAUUGAGAGCUCUUUCUUGAUUCUAUGGGUGGUGGUGCAUGGC
This 676-nucleotide ribosomal RNA is filed under the name uncultured eukaryote. RNAcentral describes it as "SSU rRNA". It matches the Rfam family "Eukaryotic small subunit ribosomal RNA", at positions 591 to 1288 of the family's 1831-position model. The record is from RNAcentral.